CGUGCAAAGGUAGCGUAAUCACCUGUCUUUUAAAUAAAGACCUGUAUGAAUGGCAAGACGAGGGUUUUACUGUCUCCUCCCCCCAGUCAAUGAAAUUGAUCUACCCGUGCAGAAGCGGGUAUAAAAACAUAAGACGAGAAGACCCUAUGGAGCUUUAGGCAUAUAUCAAAUAUGUAAAAAACCAAAUUUUUCCAAAUAGGCCUAAAAAAUGAGAAAAACAAGUAUUAAUGAUUAAGUGCCUUCGGUUGGGGCGACCACGGGGGAAAAUAAAACCCCCACAUGGAAUGGGAAAAAUAACCCUAAGCCAAGAAAAACACUUCUAAGCAACAAAAUUUUUGACCAAUAAACGACCCAGGGACACCAUCCCUGAGCAAUGAACCAAGUUACCCUAGGGAUAACAGCGCAAUCCUUUCCCAGAGCCCAUAUCAACGAAAGGGUUUACGACCUCGAUGUUGGAUCAGGGCAUCCUAACGGUGCAGCCGCU
Molecule: ribosomal RNA, 484 nt
Filed under: Conger erebennus
Lineage: Eukaryota; Metazoa; Chordata; Actinopteri; Anguilliformes; Congridae
Description: partial 16S ribosomal RNA
Rfam family: Bacterial large subunit ribosomal RNA
Source: RNAcentral